GAUGAAGAACGCAGCGAAAUGCGAUAAGUAGUGUGAAUUGCAGAAUUCAGUGAAUCAUCGAAUCUUUGAACGCACAUUGCGCCCCUUGGUAUUCCAUGGAGCAUGCCUGUUCGAGCGUCAUUUGUACCUUCAAGCUUUGCUUGGUGUUGGGUGUUUGUCCCGAGGGACUCGCCUUAAAGUAAUUGGCAGCCAGUGUUUGGUUUUGAAGCGCAGCACAAGUCGCGAUUCAAGGCUACACGCCCGCUUCCACAAGCCUUUUUUCACUUUUGACCUCGGAUCAGGUAGGGAUACCCGCUGAACUUAAGCAUAUCAAUAAGCGGAGGA
This 324-nucleotide unclassified non-coding RNA is filed under the name soil metagenome. RNAcentral describes it as "partial contains 5.8S ribosomal RNA, internal transcribed spacer 2, and large subunit ribosomal RNA". The stretch from base 1 to 120 matches the Rfam family "5.8S ribosomal RNA", at positions 35 to 154 of the family's 154-position model. The record is from RNAcentral.